UACGUAGGGUGCGAGCGUUAAUCGGAAUUACUGGGCGUAAAGCGUGCGCAGGCGGUUAUAUAAGACAGUUGUGAAAUCCCCGGGCUCAACCUGGGAAUUGCAUCUGUGACUGUAUAGCUAGAGUACGGUAGAGGGGGAUGGAAUUCCGCGUGUAGCAGUGAAAUGCGUAGAUAUGCGGAGGAACACCGAUGGCGAAGGCAGCUUACUAAGGAUUUACUGACGCUGAUGCACGAAAGCGUGGGGAUCAAACAGG
This 253-nucleotide ribosomal RNA is filed under the name uncultured bacterium. RNAcentral describes it as "partial 16S ribosomal RNA". It matches the Rfam family "Bacterial small subunit ribosomal RNA", at positions 524 to 776 of the family's 1533-position model. The record is from RNAcentral.